UUCUAGCCCCGAUUGGAGUGGAAAUCCUUUUGUUUUUUGAAUAAAAAACAAAAGAUUGGAACGGAAAGCGGGUUGGGUU
RNAcentral lists this small RNA (79 nucleotides) under Kaistella jeonii. RNAcentral describes it as "Chryseobacterium jeonii Flavo-1 RNA". It matches the Rfam family "Flavo-1 RNA". Lineage: Bacteria; Pseudomonadati; Bacteroidota; Flavobacteriia; Flavobacteriales; Weeksellaceae. The record is from RNAcentral.